This 468-nucleotide ribosomal RNA is filed under the name uncultured bacterium. RNAcentral describes it as "partial 16S ribosomal RNA". It matches the Rfam family "Bacterial small subunit ribosomal RNA", at positions 28 to 507 of the family's 1533-position model. The record is from RNAcentral.
GACGAACGCUGGCGGCGUGCUUAACACAUGCAAGUCGAACGGACAGGCCCUGCUUUUGUGGGGUGCUCGAGUGGCGAACGGGUGAGUAACACGUGAGUAAACUGCCCUUGACUUAGGGAUAUCAUUAGGGAACUGGGGCUAAUACCGGAUAGGAGAUCCUGCUGCGUGGUGGGGGUUGGAAAGUUUCGGCGGUUGGGGAUGGACUCGCGGCUUAUCAGCUUGGUUGUGGGGUAGUGGCUUACCAAGGCUUUACAGGGUAGCCGGCCUGAGAGGGGGACCGGCCACGUUAGGACUGAGAUACGGCCCAGACCCCUACGGGACGCAGCAGUGGGGAAUAGUGCACAAUGGGCGGAAGCCUGAUGCAGCAACGCCGCGUGCGGGAUGACGGCCUUCGGGUUGGAAACCACUGUCGCCUGUGACGAAGCGUGAGUGACGGUAAUGGGUAAAGAAGCACCGGCUAACUACGUG